UACGUAGGGAGCAAGCGUUGUUCGGAUUUACUGGGCGUAAAGGGCGCGUAGGCGGCAAUUCAAGUCAUCUGUGAAAUCUCGGAGCUUAACUCCGAAACUGCAUUCGAUACUGCCGUGCUUGAGGACUGGAGAGGAGACUGGAAUUUACGGUGUAGCGGUGAAAUGCGUAGAUAUCGUAAGGAAGACCAGUGGCGAAGGCGGGUCUCUGGACAGUUCCUGACGCUGAGGCACGAAGGCCAGGGGAGCAAACGGG
Molecule: ribosomal RNA, 253 nt
Filed under: uncultured bacterium
Lineage: Bacteria
Description: partial 16S ribosomal RNA
Rfam family: Bacterial small subunit ribosomal RNA
Source: RNAcentral